This is a long non-coding RNA of Loxodonta africana (African savanna elephant), 737 nucleotides long. RefSeq lists it as uncharacterized. The record is from RefSeq and is a predicted model, not a curated record. NCBI's taxonomy places the organism in Eukaryota, Metazoa, Chordata, Mammalia, Proboscidea, Elephantidae. The transcript is spliced from 4 exons.
AUGGCUCUGUGACUCAACUGUUAGUCAUCUCUUCAAAUGGUACCUUGUGUCUCCCACUAGAGGCCAGAGGACAAGGGUAACUUCUCAGCAGGCAUUCUGCUCCUUGUUGGAGCAACAAUCCUUGAAGGACCAGUUUUGAAGUAGACUGCCACAUCUUUCUCCCACCAAGUGGCUGGUGAGUUGGAACCACCGACCUUUGGGCUAACAGCUAAUUUCUCAACCACCGCACCACCAGGGAUCUUUCCGUGAAGAUUACAGCCUGGGAAACCUUGCCUCAAGAAUGGAGAGACACAUUGUCUUAUCGCCUGUGUUUUAUCUGAUUUUGAUUGGUAAUUCCAGCUGUGUUUCUUAUUCUGCUGAAGACAUACUGAAACCAGGCAAAGGAUCUCAAGGUCAGUAUUUCUCAAAGUGCCGUUCAUGGAGAAAGUAUCCAACCCCUGCAGGAUAAACUGCAGCUCCUAAACCAACUGGAUCAGAGUUUGAGCGAGGGGCCCAGGAGUCUGCAUUUCAACAUGGAAGGCUUUUGUACAUUUAAAUUUGGACACCAUUGCCACAGGUUGUGACAGGAGAUUUACAUGCUAAAUUAAAUAAACUAAGGUACAGCCCUCCUAAGGCCUAGUUGAUGUCCUUAAAAAAAUACAACAUGGUUAAGCGGAAGUGACACACCAGCUUCACUGGGCUCCGGGACAUCCCUCCCCAUCCUCUCUACUUCUUUAAUAGCUUUUCCAUUCUUCCCU